GACGAACGCUGGCGGCGUGCUUAACACAUGCAAGUCGAGCGGUAAGGCCCUUUCGGGGGUACACGAGCGGCGAACGGGUGAGUAACACGUGGGUGACCUGCCCUCAGCUCUGGGAUAAGCCUGGGAAACCGGGUCUAAUACUGGAUAUGACUCCAUGACGCAUGUUGUGGGGUGGAAAGCCUUGUGCGGCUGAGGAUGGGCCCGCGGCCUAUCAGCUUGUUGGUGGGGUGAGGCCUACCAAGGCGACGACGGGUAGCCGGCCUGAGAGGGCGACCGGCCACACUGGGACUGAGACACGGCCCAGACUCCUACGGGAGGCAGCAGUGGGGAAUCUUGCGCAAUGGGCGAAAGCCUGACGCAGCGACGCGCGU
This 371-nucleotide ribosomal RNA is filed under the name uncultured bacterium. Its description in RNAcentral is "bacterial SSU rRNA". It matches the Rfam family "Bacterial small subunit ribosomal RNA", at positions 28 to 402 of the family's 1533-position model. The record is from RNAcentral.